This 632-nucleotide ribosomal RNA is filed under the name uncultured bacterium. Its description in RNAcentral is "bacterial SSU rRNA". It matches the Rfam family "Bacterial small subunit ribosomal RNA", at positions 9 to 648 of the family's 1533-position model. The record is from RNAcentral.
GAGUUUGAUCAUGGCUCAGAUUGAACGCUGGCGGCAGGCUUAACACAUGCAAGUCGAGCGGGGACUUCGGUCCUAGCGGCGAACGGGUGAGGAUUGCUUGAGAAUCUGCCUAGUAGUGGGGGAUAACGUUUCGAAAGGAACGCUAAUACCGCAUACGCCCUACGGGGGAAAGGGGGGGAUCUUCGGACCUCUCGCUAUUAGAUGAGCCCAAGUCGGAUUAGCUAGUUGGUGAGGUAAAGGCUCACCAAGGCGACGAUCCGUAGCUGGUCUGAGAGGAUGAUCAGCCACACUGGAACUGAGACACGGUCCAGACUCCUACGGGAGGCAGCAGUGGGGAAUAUUGGACAAUGGGCGAAAGCCUGAUCCAGCCAUGCCGCGUGUGUGAAGAAGGCCUUCGGGUUGUAAAGCACUUUAAGCGAGGAGGAAUGGCUCUGGGUUAAUACCCUUGAGCAGUGACGUUACUCGCAGAAUAAGCACCGGCUAACUCUGUGCCAGCAGCCGCGGUAAUACAGAGGGUGCAAGCGUUAAUCGGAAUUACUGGGCGUAAAGCGCGCGUAGGCGGUUACGUAAGUUGGAUGUGAAAUCCCCGGGCUCAACCUGGGAAUUGCAUUCAAAACUGCGUGGCUAGAGUG